AUCUAACAGAAAAAGGUCAUUAAUUAGGACUCUUGGCAGCAAUUGUUCAAAGAUAUACCAUGUGCAGUUUUACCUUUGAAAUGAUCAUGCAAUUUCAAAGCAUGAAGAACCAGUUUAAGGGCAGUCUUUUUAGGGUGGCAGAGGAACUGUAGAAGAGCAAGCCAAGCUGGAAGGUGGAGUUAAAUGCGACAUCAGUUUAGAGUCUUUGCAUUGCCAUAAGAGAUCCAAAUCCAGUCACUCUUGAAUUCCAUUGGCCCUUAUCUAGCACAAAUUUAGUUGACCAGAUUCUUGUCUAUAGGUAUGAGCAAUAAAUAUUUCUGAGAUACAACUCAAUCUAUGUUCCUGGUCCUUUGCACCUGACGAUUACACUACAUGCAGAAAUCACCCGGAAGAAGGUGAACAGGCUUCCUGCCCUACCAACAAAUUGAGAUCUCCCUGAAUUUCCCAGAUGGGACUGGAUUGAGGAAAGCCGUGGUAACUAGCGUUUCAAGAGUUUUUAAUUGGUGAAGAAGAGUUGGCAGCCGCACACCAACUUCUACAUACUUGAAUCCCAUUGAUUUCCCACAGAAAUGUGUGCAACUUGGCAUAGGAUGGCAUCUCAGUGUAAUUAUUAUUAGAUUUAAGCAAAUAGGUAAUUAAAGGCAGCAGUUUCCUGGCUUGGUAAA
This is a long non-coding RNA of Pantherophis guttatus, 665 nucleotides long. RefSeq lists it as uncharacterized. NCBI's taxonomy places the organism in Eukaryota, Metazoa, Chordata, Lepidosauria, Squamata, Colubridae. The record is from RefSeq and is a predicted model, not a curated record.